This 2859-nucleotide long non-coding RNA is filed under the name Scophthalmus maximus (turbot). Its description in RNAcentral is "lncRNA (ENSSMAG00000025979.1)". Lineage: Eukaryota; Metazoa; Chordata; Actinopteri; Pleuronectiformes; Scophthalmidae. The record is from RNAcentral.
AUGAUUCAGUUAAUAUUGCACCUGAAACUCAUUAGAAACAUAUUUGAUGACGCUCCCUCCCUCCCUCCCUUCCUCCCUCCCUCCCUCCCUCCUCCCUCCCUCCCUCCCUCCCUCCCUCCCUCCCUCCCUCCCUCCCUUCCCUCCCUCCCUCCCUCCCUCCCUCCCUCCCUCCCUCCCUUCCUUCCUCCCUCCCUCCCUCCCUCCCUUCCUUCCUCCUCCCUUCCUUCCCUUCCCUCCCUCCCUCCCUCCCUCCCUUCCCUUCCCUUCCCUUCCCUCCCUCCCUCCCUCCCUCCCUCCCUUCCCUUCCCUCCCUCCCUCCCUCCCUCCCUCCCUCCCUCCCUCCCUUCCUUCCUCCCUCCCUCCCUCCCUCCCUCCCUUCCUUCCUACCUCCCUUCCUUCCUCCCUCCCUCCCUCCCUCCCUUCCUUCCUUCCUCCCUCCCUCCCUCCCUCCCUCCCUCCCUCCCUCCCUCCCUCCUCCCUUCCUUCCUUCCCUCCCUCCCUCCCUCCCUCCUUCCUCCUUCCUUCCUCCCUCCCUCCCUCCCUCCCUCCCUUCCUUCCUACCUCCUUCCUUCCUCCCUCCCUCCCUCCCUCCCUCCCUCCCUCCCUUCCUCCCUUCCUCCCUCCCUCCCUCCCUCCCUCCCUCCCUCCCUCCCUUCCCUCCCUCCCUCCCUCCCUUCCUUCCUCCCUCCCUCCCUCCCUUCCUCCCUUCCUUCCUCCCUCCCUCCCUCCCUCCCUCCCUUCCUUCCUCCCUCCCUUCCUUCCUCCCUCCCUCCCUUCCUCCCUUCCUUCCUCCCUCCCUCCCUCCCUCCCUCCCUCCCUCCCUCCCUCCCUUCCCUUCCUUCCCUCCCUCCCUCCCUCCUCCCUUCCCUUCCCUUCCUUCCUUCCUCCCUCCCUCCCUUCCCUUCCUUCCUCCCUCCCUCCCUUUCCCUUCCUCCCUCCCUUCCUUCCUUCCUCCCUCCCUCCCUCCCUUCCUUCCUUCCUUCCUUCCUACCUCCCUUCCUUCCUUCCUCCCUCCCUUCCUUCCUUCCUUACUUCCUCCCUCCCUUCCUUCCUUCCUUCCUUCCUUCCUUCCUUCCUUCCUACCUCCCUUCCUUCCUUCCUUCCUUCCUCCCUCCCUUCCUUCCUUCCUUCCUUCCUUCCUUCCUACUUCCCUUCCUUCCUUCCUUACUUCCUCCCUCCCUCCCUUCCUUCCUUCCUUCCUUCCUACCUCCCUUCCUUCCUUCCUUCCUUCCUCCCUCCCUUCCUUCCUUCCUUCCUUCCUUCCUUCCUACUUCCCUUCCUUCCUUCCUUACUUCCUCCCUCCCUCCCUUCCUUCCUUCCUUCCUUCCUACCUCCCUUCCUUCCUUACUUCCUCCCUCCCUCCCUCCCUCCCUUCCUUCCUUCCUUCCUUCCUUCCUACCUCCCUCCCUUCCCUCCUUCCUUCCUUCCUCCCUCCCUCCCUCCCUUCCUUCCUUCCUUCCUUCCUACCUCCCUUCCCUUCCUUCCUUCCUUCCUUCCUUCCUUCCUCCCUCCCUCCCUUCCUUCCUUCCUUCCUUCCUACCUCCCUUCCUUCCUUACUUCCCUCCCUCCCUCCCUCCCUCCCUUCCUUCCUUCCUUCCUUCCUUCCUACCUCCCUCCCUUCCCUCCUUCCUUCCUCCCUCCUCCCUCCCUCCCUUCCUCCUUCCUUCCUCCCUCCCUCCCUCCCUCCCUCCCUUCCUUCCUCCCUCCCUUCCUUCCUCCCUCCCUCCCUCCCUCCCUCCCUCCCUCCCUUCCUCCCUUCCUUCCUCCCUCCCUCCCUCCCUCCCUCCCUCCCUUCCUCCCUCCCUCCCUCCCUCCCUUCCUUCCUCCCUCCCUCCCUCCCUUCCCUUCCCUUCCUUCCCUUCCCUCCCUCCCUCCCUCCCUCCCUUCCCUUCCUCCCUUCCCUUCCUCCCUCCCUCCCUUCCUCCUUCCUUCCUUCCUCCCUCCCUCCCUCCCUCCCUUCCUCCUUCCUUCCUUCCUUCCUCCCUCCCUCCCUUCCCUUCCUUCCUCCUCCCUCCCUUCCCUCCUUCCUCCCUCCCUCCCUUUCCUUCCUCCUCCCUUCCUUCCUUCCUCCCUCCCUCCUCCCUUCCUUCCUUCCUUCCUUCCUACCUCCCUUCCUUCCUUCCUCCCUCCUUCCUUCCUUCCUUCCUCCCUCCUUCCCUUCCUUCCUUCCUUCCUUCCUUCCUUCCUUCCUACCUCCCUUCCUUCCUUCCUUCCUUCCUUCCCUCCUUCCUUCCUUCCUUCCUUCCUUCCUUCCUACUUCCCUUCCUUCCUUCCUUCCUCCUCCCUCCUUCCUUCCUUCCUUCCUACCUCCCUUCCUUCCUUCCUUCCUUCCUCCUUCCUUCCUUCCUUCCUUCCUUACUUCCCUUCCUUCCUUCCUUCCUUCCCUCCUUCCUUCCUCCUUCCUUCCUUCCUUCCUUCCUUACUUCCUCCCUCCCUCCCUCCCUCCCUUCCUUCCUUCCUUCCUUCCUUCCUACCUCCCUCCCUUCCCUCCUUCCUUCCUUCCCUCCCUCCCUCCCUUCCCUUCCUUCCUUCCUUCCCUCCUUCCUUCCUUCCUUCCUUCCUUCCUCCCUCCCUCCCUUCCUUCCUUCCUUCCUUCCUACCUCCCUUCCUUCCUUACUUCCUCCCUCCCUCCCUCCCUCCCUUCCCUUCCUUCCUUCCUUCCUUCCUUCCUACCUCCCUCCCUUCCCUCCUUCCUUCCUACCUCCCUCCCUCCCUCCCUUCCUUCUUUCAGCGCCUCGUUUCUCUGCAGACCUCCACCAUCUCUUUUCCACUCCUCUCCAUCUUCUCACAUUUCACCUUCACCUCUUCCCUUUCUCCUCAUUUCUCCACCUGCUCUUGUCUUUUGACCUCAUAACCUGA